Molecule: long non-coding RNA, 251 nt
Filed under: Elaeis guineensis (African oil palm)
Lineage: Eukaryota; Viridiplantae; Streptophyta; Magnoliopsida; Arecales; Arecaceae
Description: long non-coding RNA (EGUI_LNC082002)
Source: RNAcentral
AGGAGCCUACAAGAAACAUAUGAAAAGCUUGAUUUGCAUAUCUAUAAAUAAAAAUAUAUAGAUCAUUAAAUUAAUAUAAAAAUAUAUAUUUAAUAAUAUAUGUUUAUCUGAGAUGGGCCAUACAUCUCUAAUAAAGAUGUAAGCUGAUCAAUCUGUCCCCUCAUGGCCUGCAUCUCGGCACGGCUCUGUCGCAUCUCCUCUAUCUCAGCGGCACGACUCUGUCUAAUCUCCUGUAUCUCCGCCUCGAGUCU